UGGGGAAUAUUGGACAAUGGGCGCAAGCCUGAUCCAGCCAUACCGCGUGGGUGAAGAAGGCCUUCGGGUUGUAAAGCCCUUUUGUUGGGAAAGAAAUCCUAUCGGUUAAUAACCGGUGGGGAUGACGGUACCCAAAGAAUAAGCACCGGCUAACUUCGUGCCAGCAGCCGCGGUAAUACGAAGGGUGCAAGCGUUACUCGGAAUUACUGGGCGUAAAGCGUGCGUAGGUGGUGGUUUAAGUCUGCUGUGAAAGCCCUGGGCUCAACCUGGGAAUUGCAGUGGAUACUGGAUCACUAGAGUGUGGUAGAGGGAUGCGGAAUUUCUGGUGUAGCAGUGAAAUGCGUAGAGAUCAGAAGGAACAUCCGUGGCGAAGGCGGCAUCCUGGGCCAACACUGACACUGAGGUACGAAAGCGUGGGGAGCAAACAG
This 428-nucleotide ribosomal RNA is filed under the name uncultured bacterium. Its description in RNAcentral is "bacterial SSU rRNA". It matches the Rfam family "Bacterial small subunit ribosomal RNA", at positions 355 to 775 of the family's 1533-position model. The record is from RNAcentral.